AUCAAAUUUACUUAACUCAACAGCACGCCUAUGUAGGCAAAUGCCACCCAUUUACAUGACUUCAUCAUUUCAAGGUAGAUUAAAAGUUGUUCUGUGAAACAGGUAUAUUAUCUUCGAUUAAGAUUUUCUUAAUUAUUUUCUCUGGAGAGCUGUAUUUAUCAUGCUAACGUUUUCUUUUUGAAUGACUAACAUUUUACGUGUAUAUUGAAUUGCUUGAAUCUGAGAUUAGAUGUUUGGAAGAUUCUCCAGGAAAUAGCUUGCUUAUACUGUUGAUUUUGAUUUAUCUCCUAUAUGAUUGCAAAUUCAAGCUGCCUUCCGAACUGAUGAGAUACGAAGGACUCCUCCUACCCCACAAGAUGAAAUGAGAGCUGGAAUGAGCUACUUCCACGAGACAAUUUGGAAUGGCGUGCCAAAGUUUCUGUGACGUGUUGAUACGGCAUUUAGAAUAUCGGGAUUAACGAACAUGUUCCAUACAAUGCCCUUCUAAUUCAGUUUUCUUCUUGGAUGGGUGGAGAUGAUGAUGGUAUAUUCUUUUUUGCCCAAGACAAAUACCAUCUAUUAUGUAGUGUCACAAAUUAGUUAGAAUAUAGGCAACAGGACAUAUCAUGUCGAAAGAUUUAAUGCAUGUUUAAAUAUAUAUUUAUCAUUUUCAUAUAUUGUUGCAAACUUGCAGUCGUCUUUUAGUUGUUCUGUAUUUAUGAGUUUCAAAUAAUAAGAC
RNAcentral lists this long non-coding RNA (718 nucleotides) under Olea europaea subsp. europaea. The record is from RNAcentral. Lineage: Eukaryota; Viridiplantae; Streptophyta; Magnoliopsida; Lamiales; Oleaceae.